GACGAACGCUGGCGGCGUGCUUAACACAUGCAAGUCGAACGGAAAGGCCCUGCUUUUGUGGGGUGCUCGAGUGGCGAACGGGUGAGUAACACGUGAGUAACCUGCCCUUGACUUUGGGAUAACUUCAGGAAACUGGGGCUAAUACCGGAUAGGAGCUCCUGCUGCAUGGUGGGGGUUGGAAAGUUUCGGCGGUUGGGGAUGGACUCGCGGCUUAUCAGCUUGUUGGUGGGGUAGUGGCUUACCAAGGCUUUGACGGGUAGCCGGCCUGAGAGGGUGACCGGCCACAUUGGAAUUGAGAUACGGCCCAGACUCCUACGGGAGGCAGCAGUGGGGAAUAUUGCACAAUGGGCGGAAGCCUGAUGCAGCAACGCCGCGUGCGGGAUGACGGCCUUCGGGUUGUAAACCGCUUUCGCCUGUGACGAAGCGUGAGUGACGGUAAUGGGUAAAGAAGCACCGGCUAACUACGUG
Molecule: ribosomal RNA, 468 nt
Filed under: uncultured bacterium
Lineage: Bacteria
Description: partial 16S ribosomal RNA
Rfam family: Bacterial small subunit ribosomal RNA
Source: RNAcentral